CUCUCCUGAGCAACUGGCUGUGCUCUGUCUCACUUCACACAUGCCGCACACAUGGCACGCACACGCACGGCACGCACACGCAUGAUGCACACACACAGACGUGAGCAGUGCUCUGAGGUUUCAUUCACUCAGUUCUUGGCUCUGCAAUUCUAAUGACCGACCUGUCUUCACCCUGUGGUGGCUCUUUUUGGAACUGGCUUCCCAAGAAGUUACUGGAAAUGUGUCUAAGGGACUCUUCUGAGCUGGCCACUUGGACUGGAAAGCACAGCAGCUGGAGGCCUGGCAAGGCCGCCUGGUCAUCUACCCUUUGCUUCGAGACCCGCCCCACUGCCAUUGUUGAAGUGUAAUGGAAACAGAAGUGGCCUGAUGGCAGGCAGAGGUGGCUCUGCUGUGACAGGGGCCUCCAAGAAGUCCAGGUCAGAGGGCUUAGUCUGCACCUUGUCCCCUCCCAUGUGAGUCAUGAGCCAGGGUGUGCUCCAGGGCCCUGUACCCACAAUACCUAUCUCCACUUCUUCCCUGUCUCCUGCCCUCGCCAGCCCCACCUAGUGGUCACCUGGCUCUCUCCUUUUUAAAGAAUCUAUUUUGUCAAGCGUUUUAUUUUGACAUGAAGAUUGACUUGUCCACUUGCUGGAUCAGAUUUUCUUGGGGCCCAUACACCGGCACCAACUGUGGUUUCUCAUCUGCCUUUGUGUUCAGACCCUGCGCCUGCCUCCUGAGUACCCACUGCCGGGCUAUGCGGAUCCAACAGUCCUACCUCAAAGCUCUUGCUCAUGGGCCGCAGGGCCGCCUGGCUUGCCGUCCUGCCAUGUGGCUGCGGAGGCCAGCUGCGUGGUGCCCUCAAGAGCUGCUUGGUGCUGUUCCAGCCUCCACAUGGCCUGCAGCCACCCUUUGUGGAGGCCUAGGUCUGGCCUCCUCACCCUCUUCCUGGAGUGCUUUCUGGCUCUGCUUCUGGGCCAGAGCCCCAUCCAGAGCCUCGAGGCAAUGCACAAGACCUGAGCUCUGUGUCCAAGGCUGCUCAGCUGCCUCCUCAGUCUCCAUUUUCCUUCAGCGUUGGCUGGUGGCCCCAGCGUGGAGCUUGGGGCAGGUACCUAAGACUAAAGAAUGCAGAGAAGUGCAGCCUUCCUGGGCUUAACAACUCAGGGGGGCCUGCAGCCAGGCCAGAGGAGAUGCGGAAAUGCAGAAUGGCAUGCCCAUACCUGCAGGUGGCCUACUCCUCUCCUGCCCGGGGAUCAAACCCAGGGUGCAGAGCAUGCGAGGCCAGUGUUCUACCACUGAGCUAUACCCCAGCCCUCCAGGUAGUAUCUUUAAGAAGACAUUUUCUGAA
RNAcentral lists this long non-coding RNA (1324 nucleotides) under Marmota monax (woodchuck). Lineage: Eukaryota; Metazoa; Chordata; Mammalia; Rodentia; Sciuridae. The record is from RNAcentral.